AUUGAACGCUGGCGGCAUGCCUUACACAUGCAAGUCGAACGGUAACAGGUCUUCGGAUGCUGACGAGUGGCGAACGGGUGAGUAAUGCAUCGGAACGUGCCCAGUUGUGGGGGAUAACUGCUCGAAAGAGCAGCUAAUACCGCAUACGACCUGAGGGUGAAAGCGGGGGAUCGCAAGACCUCGCGCAAUUGGAGCGGCCGAUGUCAGAUUAGGUAGUUGGUGGGGUAAAGGCCUACCAAGCCGACGAUCUGUAGUUGGUCUGAGAGGACGACCAGCCACACUGGGACUGAGACACGGCCCAGACUCCUACGGGAGGCAGCAGUGGGGAAUUUUGGACAAUGGGGGCAACCCUGAUCCAGCCAUGCCGCGUGAGUGAAGAAGGCCUUCGGGUUGUAAAGCUCUUUCGGACGGAAAGAAAUCGCCAUCUCUAACAUAGGUGGUGGAUGACGGUACCGUCAUAAGAAGCACCGGCUAACUACGUGCCAGCCGCCGCGGUAA
RNAcentral lists this ribosomal RNA (498 nucleotides) under uncultured bacterium. RNAcentral's name for it is "partial 16S ribosomal RNA". It matches the Rfam family "Bacterial small subunit ribosomal RNA", at positions 30 to 523 of the family's 1533-position model. The record is from RNAcentral.